This 332-nucleotide unclassified non-coding RNA is filed under the name Hevea brasiliensis (rubber tree). Lineage: Eukaryota; Viridiplantae; Streptophyta; Magnoliopsida; Malpighiales; Euphorbiaceae. The record is from RNAcentral.
GAUGGAUUUUUUGUACCUGAUGGGUAUCUCUCAGAAAAUGAGGGAGUACAAGUUGACAGAAUGGAAACUGAUCUAUUAGUUGAGGAGGGCAGAGGAUCAGAAAGUUGCAAUCAAGACUCAGAAAGUGAGGAAUUUUACAUGUUGCUUCAACAACAAAAGNNNNNCAACAAAAGUAUCUGAACAACUUAACAGAGACUGCACUUCGGAAAAAUCAGCCCUUGAUUAUAUUAAAUCUAAUGCAUGAGAAAGUCCCAUUAUUACUGGCAGAAGAUCUAACUGGUACUCAUAAAUCGGAAAAGAUGUGUUUGGAAGCUCUUAGCAUGCGUACUUUC